UAGUUGUUAUAGGGACCAGCUGUGAUGACAGAAGUGGGAACACUUUGCAGGACUGUGGCUGUUGCUCAGCAGCCUUGGAGUCAGGAGGAGAGAUGAAAAUCAGAAUUGAGGGUGCUUCUGGGUGAGGGACACACCCUAUACUCUUCGCAUACUCUGCACUGGAUCCUCACGGAACCACAAUCUGAGUGAAAGUGACACCACAUGACUUCUGAGACUUGGCCCUAAAAGGUGACACAGCUUCCAACUGGCUGACCUGGGACAGUCACUUUUGGAAUCCAGCCACCAUGUGGGAGGCAGCCUGGGUCACGUGGAGAGGCCACAAAUAAGUAUUUGCCAUCUGAGGUCCCUGCUAUAGCCAUAAGCAACCAUGUGAGAGUCGGAGUGAGAAGCACCCACACUGAGCCCAUUAACCACAGACUGCACAAGAGAAAUCAAAAUGAUUUUCUUUCUUUUUUUUUAAAGAGAGGAAUUUCUCUAUGUUGCUCAGGCUGAUCUUUAACUUCUGGGCUCAGGCAGUCCUCCCGCUUCAGCCUGCCCAGCAGCUAGGACCACAGGCACACAUCAACCCACCCUACUAAUGUUUUUUAAUUCUUUACUUUUGGUAGAGAUGGAGUUUCACCAUGCUGCCAGCCUGGUCUCGAACUCCUGGGCUCAAGUGAUCCUCCCACCUUGCCCUCCCAAAGUAUUGGGAUUAAAAGAAUGAGCCACUGUGUCUGGCCAAAAUCGCCAUUGUUUUAAGGCAACAAGUUUUGGAGAGAUUUGUUAUGCAGCAGUCUGCUAACCGCAAUAGAGGAGCACACAGGGGCUCAAUUUGACAGGUAGUGACUUGCCAGAGGACUCAGCUGAUGUGUGGCAGGACCAGGCAGUGAAUCUGUGUCUUCCGAACUCCAAAUCCCAUCUUUGCCCUGACCCUGAACUUCCUCCUUUGGUUUCUGGGAUGGCUCUUACUCAGGGAGGGUCCCCUUUUCCCUCCCCACCCAGCAGUGGCCAGGAUGAAACCACAG
This 1004-nucleotide long non-coding RNA is filed under the name Homo sapiens (human). RNAcentral's name for it is "non-protein coding lnc-HNRNPAB-2:1". The record is from RNAcentral. Lineage: Eukaryota; Metazoa; Chordata; Mammalia; Primates; Hominidae.